UGGCGACGGGUGAGUAACACGUGAGCAACCUGCCUUCAAGAGUCGGAAUAGCUUCUGGAAACGGAUGGUAAUACCGCAUAACAUUACCGGACCGCAUGAUCUGGUAAUCAAAGAUUUAUCGCUUGAAGAUGGGCUCGCGUCUGAUUAGAUAGUUGUGGGGUAACGGGCCUACCAAGUCGACGAUCAGUAGCCGGACUGAGAGGUUGAACGGCCACAUUGGGACUGAGACACGGCCCAGACUCCUACGGGAGGCAGCAGUGGGGGAAUAUUGCACAAUGGGCGCAAGCCUGAUAGCAGCGAUGCCGCGUGGAGGAAGAAGGUUUUCGGAUUGUAAACUCCUUAUCUGAGGGACGAUAAUGACGGUACCUCAGGAGAAAGCUCCGGCUAACUACGUGCCAGCAGCCGC
Molecule: ribosomal RNA, 406 nt
Filed under: uncultured bacterium
Lineage: Bacteria
Description: bacterial SSU rRNA
Rfam family: Bacterial small subunit ribosomal RNA
Source: RNAcentral